RNAcentral lists this transfer RNA (68 nucleotides) under Isocapnia anguis. RNAcentral describes it as "tRNA-Cys". Lineage: Eukaryota; Metazoa; Arthropoda; Insecta; Plecoptera; Capniidae. The record is from RNAcentral.
AGCUUUAUAGUCAUAAAAAUGAUAUUAGACUGCAAUUCUAGAGGAGCAAAAUUUGUUUGCUAAGGCUU